GGAAGCGUGGCUGAGUGGUUUAAAGCAGCAUCCUGCUAAGAUGUUGUACCCGCAAGGGUACCGAAGGUUCGAAUCCUUCCGCUUCCG
This 87-nucleotide transfer RNA is filed under the name Candidatus Colwellbacteria bacterium RIFCSPHIGHO2_02_FULL_43_15. RNAcentral describes it as "tRNA-Ser". It matches the Rfam family "tRNA". From Rfam's summary of the family: Transfer RNA (tRNA) molecules are approximately 80 nucleotides in length. Their secondary structure includes four short double-helical elements and three loops (D, anti-codon, and T loops). RNAcentral also lists the same sequence under 3 other names. Lineage: Bacteria; Candidatus Colwelliibacteriota. The record is from RNAcentral.